AUUUAUUUAGUAUAUAAAGUACCCCUAAUUUCCAAUUAGAUAGUCUAAUUUUUAGAAUAAAUA
This 63-nucleotide transfer RNA is filed under the name Raptrix fusca. RNAcentral's name for it is "tRNA-Gly". The record is from RNAcentral. Lineage: Eukaryota; Metazoa; Arthropoda; Insecta; Mantodea; Acanthopidae.